AAAUUGAAGAGUUUGAUCAUGGCUCAGAUUGAACGCUGGCGGCAGGCCUAACACAUGCAAGUCGAACGGUAACAGGAAGCAGCUUGCUGCUUCGCUGACGAGUGGCGGACGGGUGAGUAAUGUCUGGGAAACUGCCUGAUGGAGGGGGAUAACUACUGGAAACGGUAGCUAAUACCGCAUAAUGUCGCAAGACCAAAGAGGGGGACCUUCGGGCCUCUUGCCAUCGGAUGUGCCCAGAUGGGAUUAGCUAGUAGGUGGGGUAACGGCUCACCUAGGCGACGAUCCCUAGCUGGUCUGAGAGGAUGACCAG
RNAcentral lists this ribosomal RNA (310 nucleotides) under Escherichia coli. Its description in RNAcentral is "bacterial SSU rRNA". It matches the Rfam family "Bacterial small subunit ribosomal RNA", at positions 1 to 307 of the family's 1533-position model. The record is from RNAcentral. Lineage: Bacteria; Pseudomonadati; Pseudomonadota; Gammaproteobacteria; Enterobacterales; Enterobacteriaceae. RNAcentral also lists the same sequence under 1 other name.